RNAcentral lists this long non-coding RNA (237 nucleotides) under Vigna radiata. RNAcentral describes it as "long non-coding RNA (VRAD_LNC003463)". The record is from RNAcentral. Lineage: Eukaryota; Viridiplantae; Streptophyta; Magnoliopsida; Fabales; Fabaceae.
GUGCUUCUCCCAACUUCUCCUCUAGCUUCCUUCCAAUGGUGAAGGCCUUCUGAGCUGAGAGGAUACUCCACACAUUCCCAACAUCACUAAACACUACAAUUCCACUAAAUUCCACCUACAUCCUCUGCAUCUUCAUUCAUGUCCGCUGCACCACUCUGCCAAUCAACUUGCCUGCUGUUUGAAUUUGUAUUAUGCAAGAUCUAGGCCUGGGCAAGCUUACAUCACUUUAACCACCCG